UGACCACAACCCUUACAAUUCCUGGACGCUUAUGAAGAGCAUGCAGAGAGAAGGACUGCUAUGCUUGAGUCCCUGGUAAGGCCAGAUCUGGAGAGAUGGCGGCGACUUAAGGAGAGGCGGAGAAGGUCCUUCGAAAAAAAGAUGGUGACCAGCUUGGGAACAAUUGUGGAGGAGCUAAAAAACAUGGGGAAAAGACAAGAGCAAAUUAUGCAUCUGUAACCCCCCAUAAGAAGUUCUGAUAGGAAUGUAACUUUUAUCAUUUCUAAGGUUAAUCAUUUAUUAUAUUAUAUUAUAUUGUCACUUAUUAUAUUCCUCCAAUCAUAAUUCUGCAUAAAACCUGAAUUUAGAAAAUCUGCCUAGCAACUGUUGAGCAGUCCUGAACAGGUACUUGUGAUUGGUUAAAUAUUUCAAGCUCCGCCCCUGCUAAAUACACAGAAUGGGUGUGAGAGAGUGCACUACAAUACAGUCCAGAUAGAUGGUCUGAAAAAGUCUUUGGACUUUUGUCAGAGCCGAUCAGCCCUAUACGCUCACUACACUACGCAAGCUGCGUAGGGCCCCGCAAAUUACUCAAGGCCCCGCCUCCUCCUCGUGUCAUAGCGCGUCACGUCACCGUCAAUUAAUGUUUACAACAUCCAUGACAAAAUGAAGCGAAACUUUCCUUCUGGUCACGAAAAGAGGAAAAAAAAAAAAACCCAUGAAAGUGAACUGCGGGAACAACAAUCAGUUUCUUCUAGACAGUCCAAAUAGACUGGUGUUGCCCAUACUGAUGCCGAAAAUGCCCAGGCUGUAGAGAGAACCUAAAUUAAUCCUAAAAGCCAAAGCUCAGAGUUAUAAUUUAUUAUUUUCUUCUUAUUUAUGUUUACGUUAAUAUUCACUUACUUAAUAAUAUUCACUUGUUAUCUUAAUAUUCUAUAGGAAAUACUCUAUUCAAUAAAUAUUGUUUGUUUGAACCUCAUUCUGUUCUAUAUUGUUGUUCUAUAUUGUCGACUGUUUUGUUUAAAGGAGGGAGGAUUGUAUUGGGAUCACUGAAGUGUCAGGUGUGACUGUGUGGCAAUGGCAAAUGGUUUACAUAGCUCACGGCGUCACGGGUCAGUUAGAGGGCCCCUUAGCAGAAUUUUGCUUAGGGCCCCAGGGAGGUCAGGAUCGGCACUG
This is a long non-coding RNA of Cyprinus carpio (common carp), 1152 nucleotides long. RefSeq lists it as uncharacterized. Lineage: Eukaryota; Metazoa; Chordata; Actinopteri; Cypriniformes; Cyprinidae. The transcript is spliced from 2 exons. The record is from RefSeq and is a predicted model, not a curated record.